Long non-coding RNA from Pygocentrus nattereri (red-bellied piranha), 1590 nucleotides. RefSeq lists it as uncharacterized. Lineage: Eukaryota; Metazoa; Chordata; Actinopteri; Characiformes; Serrasalmidae. The record is from RefSeq and is a predicted model, not a curated record. The transcript has 5 exons.
UCAAAAUAAUGAGCACGUGACGUGUUCGCGCGCGAUUUCUUUCAAGAAGAUUCCAUCAGGCUGAAAUAUGGCGUGUUCGCCUGUUUGAGCGGCGCAGGUGGACUUGAUAAGAUUCUGACUCUACGGUGACCUAAAUCUGUGUCCUGAAUGUUACAAGUGGUGAUUCACUGUGAAGAUGAACAUGGUGAAAUAGUGAGUGAGACCUUUAAAGCUUGCAGGACAGGAGAACAACGCUGUUAAGGGCUUGGUUGCUGUGAGGCUCAGAGGCCUGUUUGUGAUGUAGGAGGCAAAAAGGAUAAAUGACAGGACUGACUUCUGCUGUGCUCAAUGAUGAACUGGAUUCCCUCGCUGAAUGGGAUGCAGAGAGCUGCUCCGUUAGCUGUAUGAAAGACACUUGACAAGCAUGGUGGACUCUUCAAGAGCUAAAACAUAAUAAGGCAUCCUCCCCUGUGCACACCCCCUUGCCUGGUGUGAAGACCACCCAAGAGGGCUGUGAAGUCAGGUACACCGGCAUUGUCUGGGGUUCAUAAGUUCGCACUAUCCCUUCAGAGCUGGUUGACUGAACGUAUUCUUUAGACGAGUGUCAUGAAAGUAUAAUGACAGAGGCUUUUUUGAAGCAUCAUCAAGAGAAUUAGAAUAACGUGUUCCAUCUGGGCAUGUCUAGUACCUUUCUUGACUUUGAAGCCAGAAAGUGAGGUUCUGGGAUUGGCUAAAUUCCUGAUCGGUUAGUAGUUUUUGCGCCUUCAUUUUUAAAGAGUGUAGGCCUGUGCAGUUCUGUCUUGAUCCAGGAAAAAUUAGAAGUCAAAAUCAAAUCACAGUCAAAAAUAAGACACUUUUAAAAUAAGGGUUCUUAAGUGGUUCUUGGUUCAGAUGCAUGGUUCGAGGAGAUUGCUACAGAAUCUUUAGAUUUUGUUCACAUUUUUCCAAAGUUUAAAAAAAAGUUCUCUAUGCUCACUCACUCAGUCUCAUUUCCACAAUUGGUUCAUUAAAGAAAUGUCAAGGUUCUUUAGGGAAACAAAAGAGUUUCUUCUGCAGAAUCACACCAAAUAACCAUUUUUCAUCUUUUUUUUUGAAGUGUGUAGGCAUAUUUAAUUCUUUGUUUGAGCAAACGGCAGACUUUACUGAAAACUGACUUUAAAACUUUGGUUUCCUGUUCAUUUAAAGCCUAAUUCUUUAGGAUUUCAGUUGCAGUUUAUUAGAAACAUCAGUUGAUUAGCUUUGUUUUUAGCCUCGGCUUUGCAAUGUUUCAUUCUGUAAAUGUCACACUACCUCUGAACGCCUGACUUGCUUUUUAAAAAAUACACGUUUAUAUUUUUCAUUCUAAAUAGAGGAGUGUUUUUUUUUCGUUCCCCAAAGAACCUUUCCCUCAGUGAUUGUUGUGGCUGUAAAGAAUAAUUUUGCUAAAUGUGGGUGUUUGAGUGUAACAAAUCUUUUUAAAGUUCAAAAGUUAAAGCCAAUAGCCCUUUAGGAACCUUUAUUUUUAAGCGUGUGAAUACAGCUGCUUUGCUGUGCUGAGAGUUGGCACAUGUGUCUGGAUCCAGUCUGUUUGCGGAGCAUAUCCAAAAGGCUAUUAAAAACUUUUCCAUCAAA